GACAGAGGGUGCAAACGUUGUUCGGAAUUACUGGGCGUAAAGCGCGUGUAGGCGGCUCGGAAAGUCGGAUGUGAAAGCCCAGGGCUCAACCCUGGAAGUGCACUCGAAACUUCCGAGCUGGAGUCCCGGAGAGGAAGGCGGAAUUCUCGGUGUAGAGGUGAAAUUCGUAGAUAUCGAGAGGAACACCUGUGGCGAAGGCGGCCUUCUGGACGGUGACUGACGCUGAGACGCGAAAGCGUGGGGAGCAAACAGG
RNAcentral lists this ribosomal RNA (253 nucleotides) under uncultured bacterium. RNAcentral's name for it is "partial 16S ribosomal RNA". It matches the Rfam family "Bacterial small subunit ribosomal RNA", at positions 524 to 776 of the family's 1533-position model. The record is from RNAcentral.